UUUACGAGCCGCUUGAAGGUAAAGCAAGAUAUACUUGAAUAGUUGAAAAGUGCAGACGAAAAAGUAUUUCGACCCGAGAAACAAUUAACAGUGCUAAAAAUGAGUUCCUGUUUAAUUUUUUAUAUUUUAUUAAGCAGUGUCAUUUGUUUUUCUUCGAGUCAGUCUGAACCUCAAUCGAAGAAUGAAAAUUUGUUCAUUGGCAAGUAUCCAAUUCAAGGCAAGACACCUGGACCAAUUGAUAUCGAAACUUCUGAAGUGAAAAAUGCACAUUUGUCACCGAUAAAAGUUACAAGAACUCGAGGCGAUCAUGUAAAAAUGAUCAAUAAUGGAGUAGCAAUUGAAGGAAUAGCAGACCCGGGGGGGAAUGCAGUCUUGACCGGAGGUCCUUUCUUUCACAAAAAAUACCAGUAUUAUAAAAUCAGAUAUUAUUGGUCAGGAAAUUCCAGUGGACCUGCAGCUACUACCGUGAACGGAAAAAAUGGAACUCCAAUAGAAGCGUUGGCCAUUUACUACAAUGAAGAGUAUGGAUCAUUUGAAAAUGCCUUGAAUCAUCGCGAUGGGUUGGCAAUGCUCUCUGCACGAAUACGAGUGACUUCAAAACCAAACCAAGAAUUUACUCCUUUUUCCAAAACACUGGAAAAAAUAGUAAAACCUGGAUCUUCGGCGGAAAUGAAGAAAAAAUACACGUUUAAUUGGUUCGAUAAAUUUCAUCCAAAUGAUACUUCAUAUUUUGCUUACCCUAGUUCAUACACGGAUCAAUUGUCAGGAAAAAAGUAUUACUGCUCCACUGUUUGUAUACUUCGACCCAUAAUUGCCUCAAUUUCUGAAAAACAAUUCCACGAAUCUUUUGGACAGCUGAAGAAUUCGCGAGGAGGACGCUUGACUAAUUCCGCCAAGCAAUCCCCCUCCGAUGGAAGACCAAUAGUUCAAAGUUCCGGAUUUAUUCAAAACGCGAAAGGUUGAAAAAAACCUGGUUUAUCGAUGGGUCUACUUCUGAGCACCCGUGAAGAAAUUAAACUCAUACGACGAUGAUGAUCACAAGCAUCAUGGAAAUCAAGGUCAUCCUCCACAUCACGGUAACCAAGGUCAUCCUCCACAUCAUGGACACCAAGGUCAUCAUCACAGCAAUAAUGGUGGCAAUUCAGGUGUGCCUCCCAAUGCUCCACCUACCAAACUUUCUCCCGGUACUCCGAACUAUCAAUUUUAUAACGGAGGUACUCAAUUCAGUUAUAAUGGAAUGCUCUUACCGAAUCACGAAUACCAUUUAUGUUGAUAAAGUGAUGUAAUGUAAUAUUAUUUGUAAUAUUUUGAAAAAUCAGUUUACGUCGACGAUAAUACCUAUUCGAUUAUUUGUAAACUGUCCUUACUUAAAUAAAUUAAAUGUUAACUGUAUGAA
RNA transcript from Planococcus citri (citrus mealybug), 1396 nucleotides. It is a transcript of the gene named carbonic anhydrase 2-like, with no coding region annotated. The transcript has 7 exons. Lineage: Eukaryota; Metazoa; Arthropoda; Insecta; Hemiptera; Pseudococcidae. The record is from RefSeq and is a predicted model, not a curated record.